RNAcentral lists this ribosomal RNA (638 nucleotides) under Mycobacterium sp. Se3Ps_2507. RNAcentral's name for it is "bacterial SSU rRNA". It matches the Rfam family "Bacterial small subunit ribosomal RNA", at positions 378 to 1028 of the family's 1533-position model. The record is from RNAcentral. Lineage: Bacteria; Bacillati; Actinomycetota; Actinomycetes; Mycobacteriales; Mycobacteriaceae.
GCAGCCUGAUGCAGCGACGCCGCGUGAGGGAUGACGGCCUUCGGGUUGUAAACCUCUUUCAGCAGGGACGAAGCGCAAGUGACGGUACCUGUAGAAGAAGCACCGGCCAACUACGUGCCAGCAGCCGCGGUAAUACGUAGGGUGCGAGCGUUGUCCGGAAUUACUGGGCGUAAAGAGCUCGUAGGUGGUUUGUCGCGUUGUUCGUGAAAACUCACAGCUCAACUGUGGGCGUGCGGGCGAUACGGGCAGACUUGAGUACUGCAGGGGAGACUGGAAUUCCUGGUGUAGCGGUGGAAUGCGCAGAUAUCAGGAGGAACACCGGUGGCGAAGGCGGGUCUCUGGGCAGUAACUGACGCUGAGGAGCGAAAGCGUGGGGAGCGAACAGGAUUAGAUACCCUGGUAGUCCACGCCGUAAACGGUGGGUACUAGGUGUGGGUUUCCUUCCUUGGGAUCCGUGCCGUAGCUAACGCAUUAAGUACCCCGCCUGGGGAGUACGGCCGCAAGGCUAAAACUCAAAGAAAUUGACGGGGGCCCGCACAAGCGGCGGAGCAUGUGGAUUAAUUCGAUGCAACGCGAAGAACCUUACCUGGGUUUGACAUGCACAGGACGCCGGCAGAGAUGUCGGUUCCCUUGUGGCC